GUUUAAUUCGAUGCAACGCGAAGAACCUUACCUACUCUUGACAUCCACAGAAUUCGGCAGAGAUGCCUUAGUGCCUUCGGGAACUGUGAGACAGGUGCUGCAUGGCUGUCGUCAGCUCGUGUUGUGAAAUGUUGGGUUAAGUCCCGCAACGAGCGCAACCCUUAUCCUUUGUUGCCAGCGGUUCGGCCGGGAACUCAAAGGAGACUGCCAGUGAUAAACUGGAGGAAGGUGGGGAUGACGUCAAGUCAUCAUGGCCCUUACGAGUAGGGCUACACACGUGCUACAAUGGCGCAUACAAAGAGAAGCGACCUCGCGAGAGCAAGCGGACCUCAUAAAGUGCGUCGUAGUCCGGAUCGGAGUCUGCAACUCGACUCCGUGAAGUCGGAAUCGCUAGUAAUCGUAGAUCAGAAUGCUACGGUGAAUACGUUCCCGGGCCUUGUACACACCGCC
Molecule: ribosomal RNA, 450 nt
Filed under: uncultured Gammaproteobacteria bacterium
Lineage: Bacteria; Pseudomonadati; Pseudomonadota; Gammaproteobacteria
Description: bacterial SSU rRNA
Rfam family: Bacterial small subunit ribosomal RNA
Source: RNAcentral